RNAcentral lists this long non-coding RNA (387 nucleotides) under Anas zonorhyncha (Eastern spot-billed duck). Its description in RNAcentral is "lncRNA (ENSAZOG00000006573.1)". Lineage: Eukaryota; Metazoa; Chordata; Aves; Anseriformes; Anatidae. The record is from RNAcentral.
AACAGUUUUAUGCUGAUUAUCAACCAAUUAACCUUUGCUUUUUUUCUGAACCGCAUCUAUUCAAUGUCUGCAUUUGAUUUUGUUUUAUUUUUUUUCCAGGCUGAAAGGAUUAUCCUGUUGCAUUGUAAACAACCACUAAACCUUCUAAAGAGAUUUCUCAUCUGCACUGUUUUGCUGUGGAUGUGUCAACCCAGAACAACCAGCCUUUCCUUGACUCUGGUGUCAACUACACGUGUGCACUGUUGUUUAAACAUGCAGUUUCUGUGUUUCUCACUCUGACAGGCUGCUUUGUCUGUUUUGACUCCUGUGCUUCCUCUAUUGUAUAUUCUGAAGUCAGCUACAGUUUUCAGUAAUACUUCUAGCGUAAGUCUGUUUAAAAGCAUAAAG